AUGGUAAACCGGUGACGUGC
RNAcentral lists this microRNA (20 nucleotides) under Rattus norvegicus (Norway rat). RNAcentral's name for it is "rno-miR-1193-5p". The record is from miRBase by way of RNAcentral. Lineage: Eukaryota; Metazoa; Chordata; Mammalia; Rodentia; Muridae.